GCCUGCGCGACCCGGAACGUUCGGGCUGGUCUCGCGCCUUCCGGGGCCGCAGUUCCCGACCCUACCUGCCCCCGCGCGCGGCGUUUUGCGCCUCGCCGGCCUCCCAUCCCGGGCCCGCCAACCCCGCUCGGCGCGCGUCGGCCUAACGCUCUCCCCACCCAAUCUCUGUCCAGGCCCCGGGGGCUGAUCGCCCGUGCCAGCGGCUCUGGGAAGUCCAGAAAAGUAAACUCUCGGCGGUUAAAGCGUGUCCCCAGAUAGUGUGCACUCCGGAUCCUCCCAGCAUCGGGACUCCCAGACUGCGUGCCUGGGGCUAGGUUUUGAGCCUUGAGGCCGCGUUUAGGGGAUCAAAGCCGGGAAUCCCAUGGACAGAGGAGCCUGGCGGGCUACAUAGCCCAAGGGGUUGCAGAGUCCAACACGACUGAGCGACUGAGUACAUACCGGCACACAUGAAGUAUAUAAUUCACGGAAACGGUGGUCCUGGACAGGAACGCAGACGACUUUCGGAAGCUCUGCCAUCUUCCCUUGAACUCACCUUCAGGCCUUCCGAGUCCUCUUUGACUCACCCUUCAGCCCCCACGUUCUGAAGCUGCCAAGUCCGCGGGAGCGUCUAAGACGUCCUCUUUCUCCAAGCUCAGGGUCCCACUUGGAUCCAGACUCUAUGCCAUGGUCACCUGGCUCUCCCUGGAUUCACCUGCUCUGCAUUCCUGUCUUCACCUGCCUACUUCCUUUGGCAGAAAUGCCUGGGGCUCGCGGGACCCCCAGCCAGCAGCCCUGUCUGGGUGUUCACACCCCAGGCCCCGAUCAUGCCGCUGGCCCUUCACUCCUCCGACCACUGGCUCUGACCUCAGCCUGACCACUCCCCUGUCCCCACCCCUGACCUAGGUGCUCUCAGACCCAGAAGGCUGGCUGCAGACCCCUGCAGCCCACCCCCGGCCCAGCCCCCAGCCCCACUGAUUGUCCGAGGCUGGGGCGCCACCAUCAGCAACCCUGCCCAGGUGACCAGUAAGAAGAAUAUGGCAGAGAAACAGGCCCAAAGGGAGGAAGGACAGACUGAAAGUGUGGUGGUGGUCUCCGAUGUUGUUCCAGCCUCCCACCUCCAUUGCCCAGCCCCUCCCAGAGCCACCCCCAGGGAUCCGGGGAAGGCACAGCAGGAGGGACUCCAGGGCAGGGGAUCCCCCUAGACACCCUCUCCUCCUCCAGGU
Molecule: long non-coding RNA, 1202 nt
Organism: Bos taurus (domestic cattle)
Lineage: Eukaryota; Metazoa; Chordata; Mammalia; Artiodactyla; Bovidae
Source: Ensembl